AAAAAUGUUAGAAUUGUUUCAAAAUUAUCUAAAAAAUAGGUCUUUAAAGCUACUUUCGAUAGAGCCGCAGAGAAUAUCAUUGUUUAUUGUUCGAUUAAAUGACAAGGAUGACAUCUAGGAAACACCCAGAUGAGAAUCCGAUGACAAUUGUAGAUAUUUUAUCGAAAUAAAAUAAGAUAAUAAUUAA
Molecule: long non-coding RNA, 187 nt
Organism: Acromyrmex echinatior (Panamanian leafcutter ant)
Lineage: Eukaryota; Metazoa; Arthropoda; Insecta; Hymenoptera; Formicidae
Source: RefSeq, a predicted model, not a curated record